Aedes albopictus (Asian tiger mosquito) is the source of this 8077-nucleotide RNA transcript. RefSeq lists it as uncharacterized. NCBI's taxonomy places the organism in Eukaryota, Metazoa, Arthropoda, Insecta, Diptera, Culicidae. The record is from RefSeq and is a predicted model, not a curated record. The transcript is spliced from 2 exons.
UCCGAUAGGGCAUUACAGCUACCAAAAUGAAAGUUCCGAAUAAGGGGGUAUGCUAAAGAGGGAAAAUUUGCGCCAUUGCCAAAAAACCGUUGAACUGUUUAAGUGAUUUCGAAGUGUAAGGUAUUUUACAGUUAAAACUUCUAAAUGACAAAAUUAAUUUAAAACACACCCACCUUACAGCAUGUACCAAAAACGACACAAAACGAGACAGUUAAAGUUAGACAAAACAUUUGACCAAAAACGUUAAUAUUUAUGUAAGUAAUCAGACAAAUUUUGUAAAGACAACUCUGUUUAAAGUCAAGUACCAAUUACAGUUUCCCCCUGAGGAAGACACUAUCCCCGUGUCGAAACGUCGGGUGAAUAAUAAAACUCGUUUUUUGAACCCUAAGACUGCGUAGCCGUUAAUCUAUAGAGUCAAGAUUACAGUCGAUUCCCAACAGCAAUAUUCUCAAUGGCAGCUAUACAGCACUCCUUUUUCCGGUACAUUGAUGAAAACUUCGGUCACCUUACAGUGGACGCAAUGAAAAAGUACGCGUCCGGCAACAGAAAACUGGCAAACCUAGAAAACCGGAAAUCAUUCCUCAUCCGGUGCAGGCGACAAGGCGUUUUCCCCGCACACAUCGUCAACUCUUUCAAGUGUGUGCACGAGCUUUUAGCGGACAACGGGCCGUAUAUCAAUAAGAUCGACAGGACUAUCAACCGAUUCAAAAAGGCCAUCCUGAACCUGGAAAUCAAACAGACCUUCUACAAGAUGCAGCAGAUCACGCAGGAGCUGAAUACCAUCAAAUGCCACAUUCAAACCCUAACCAGUGAAAGCGUGACGGACGAGUACCUGUCUACCCAGCGGAUGGCAUACAACAACUGGUUGAAUCGGCAGAACGGGCGCACAGCAAGAAAGCUCACAAACAUGCUGCAAACUCCAAACAGCAACGAGGAGCCCACAUACAACGAACACGCAAUCCUCAACGCGACGGAGUUAGAGGUGCCGGCGAACGUUCUGCACUUACUGAGUCUUGGUCCUAGAUUCGCACUACCCACUACAUCGCUAGCGCAAGUACCAUUCUACCACCUUUUUGCUGAUGUGGAAGGAGUCUUGCUCACCAAUACCGACAAGGACGUGCAGGACAGAAACCGUUGUAGAAUCGUGAAUGUAACGUUAAAUUUCAUUCACGGUUUUCACUCGAUGGUGGAGGUGCGUGAUCCCACGACCAAGUUUUGCGUAGCUGCUUCCAAUGAGACAAAAAGCUAUCUACGAGAACACCCCGAGAUCUGCGUCUUGUCUGCCGACAAAGGUAACAGGACCGUCAUCAUGAUGCGGGAGGAUUAUGACCAAAAAAUGCGAGCAUUGGUGAGCGACACAACAACAUACCAAAAGGUACGAGCAGACCCCACAUCUAGUUACCAAAAGGGGAACAACAGCAUAGUCAAAAGACUUCAAAACCUGAAGCUUAUUGACUACAGAACGGCUCGCGAACUGGCCUCAAACAACGCUAUUUGCCCUAGGAUAUACGGCCAGCCAAAGUCCCACAAACAAAACCUUCCACUCCGUCCGGUAAUCCCCAACAUAACUGCCCCAACAUACAAGCUGGCUAGGUAUGUUGCUAACAUCCUCCAAUCAUCACUUCGCAGUCAGUACAGCACAUACAGCUCGUUCGAUUUCUGCAAGGAAGUUAACGGUUUCAAAAUUCCCGAAGGCUACAUAAUGAUUUCCCUCGAUGUCACUUCACUGUUCACCAAUGUACCACGGCACCUGGUCAUUAGGAACAUAAUUGAACGGUGGAACGAAGUGACAACAGAAAUCAACCUGGAUCUAUUCUUGGAAAUAGUGGAGUAUUGCAUGGGGGCGAGCUACUUCUGCUUUGAAGGACAAUUCUUUAAACAAACAUAUGGAACAGCCAUGGGAAGCCCACUCUCGCCAAUUGCUGCAGAUAUCGUCCUAGACUCAGUCAUUACUAAAGCUAUGAGCUCUCUACCUUUCGAGACUACAAUCUUUUGGAAAUACGUGGACGAUAUCUUUAUGGUAAUCCCGCGGAACACUGAGCAGCAGGUGCUCGACGCAUUCAAUGGCGUAGAACCUAGGCUGCAGUUCACCAUUGAGACCGAACAGGAUGGCAAACUUGCGUUUUUGGACAUGACCGUCAUAAGAAACCCGGACCAGACCUUAACGACGGAAUGGUACGCCAAGCCCAUCGCUUCAGGGAGAAUGCUGAAUUACAAGUCGUUCCAUCAGCCGAAACACAAAAUGAAUGUGGCGAAAAAUUUCAUUCAUAGGGUUUGCUCACUCACACAAAACAAAUCCAUGGAUGAAAUAACGACAAUAAUCCAUCAACACCUCCGCAAGAAUGGAUAUCCAAAACAGUUAAUUAACCGACUACUGCAGCUGUACACCACAAAAACCCACCCAACUCCGUCGAUCGUCAACAACCGCCAGGCUGACGAUCCACCGCCCAACCCCCCCAGCCGACCAUCGUGCCAGCAAUCACCCACACCCGCUCAACCCCCACCGCCACCAGCCGCCACCACCACCGUCAGAAACACGCACAGUCAACCGCCACCGCAAUCAUCAAUUAGCCCAGCACUGCACAGAUCCCACACACAGACGACAUCCAGAGCCAACAUUGACGAAAUCGAAAUCCACCAAGCAACUAAUCCACCAACUGAACCAUGCACCGAUCAUCAAACAACCACAGGAUCCAUCCAUGACGCCAACAUGCAAGUACACGAAGAUCCACCUGAAACAAGACAAGAAAAAACAUACAGAUCACUUCCCUACAUACCAACUCUAUCACAACGAAUAGCUAAGAUCCUAGCCAAAGACUAUCCAGAUAUCUCCAUAACGACCAGACAGCAACGUACAAUCAAUGAACUUCACACCAUAGUUAAGUACCCUAAAAGAAAGGAAGAAAUUAGUAACGUUAUUUACAAAAUUCCCUGUAAUGACUGCAAUAAUUGCUAUAUAGGUAUGACUAGGAAUAAUUUGCACCGAAGAUUAGCUGGACACAGAUCAAACGUAAACAAACUGGAAAAAAUGAUUAAUGACAACACAAAUACUGACACAGCAACGAAUGCACUAGUUGAAGCGACAACCGCACUCAUACAACACUGCGUAGACCAUAACCAUAGAUUUAACCUAGACCAGACACAGAUUAUAGAUCACAGCAAUAAACAAUCCACACUCCCUUUCCUCGAAAUGUGUCAUAUUACCAACACGGAACACACAGUCAACAAACGAACAGACAUAGACAGGCUAAGUACGACAUAUGCAGGUGUACUACACAGUAUAAAGAAUAUUGACAGACACAACAAAAUUAGAAGCGAAGACCAUUUAGACGAAAGUUAGAUUAUUCCGAUAGGGCAUUACAGCUACCAAAAUGAAAGUUCCGAAUAAGGGGGUAUGCUAAAGAGGGAAAAUUUGCGCCAUUGCCAAAAAACCGUUGAACUGUUUAAGUGAUUUCGAAGUGUAAGCAUGUACCAAAAACGACACAAAACGAGACAGUUAAAGUUAGACAAAACAUUUGACCAAAAACGUUAAUAUUUAUGUAAGUAAUCAGACAAAUUUUGUAAAGACAACUCUGUUUAAAGUCAAGUACCAAUUACAGUUUCCCCCUGAGGAAGACACUAUCCCCGUGUCGAAACGUCGGGUGAAUAAUAAAACUCGUUUUUUGAACCCUAAGACUGCGUAGCCGUUAAUCUAUAGAGUCAAGAUUACAGUCGAUUCCCAACAGCAAAAAAAACUACUGGAGAAACCUGUGCAGGAACUCACAGAAACAAUUCUUGAAAAUUUUCUAGAAGAGUUUCCAAAUAUAUGUCCGAGAAAAUCCCUGAAUAAAUGGAGCAAUACCAGAGUAACCUCUGGAAAAAUUCAAGCAAUCAUUUCCUGGUAAUAUUUCUGGAAAAUAAUCUGUAUUUCUAACGGAAAACUGAAACCAAUUGGAAUGCCACGGAUACAUCCAGACAAGCAAAAAGAUUUAUAAGACAUAGUGCUGAAAAAGCCAGGACCAUACUAAAUUUUUGUUUCUGUAUUAACGAGAUUUUUAGCCCUUGGCUAGUUCAUCUCGAGACCCACGCUUUACUUCCCUUCCGAAGGAAGAACUCACAUUUUGUGAGUUCGUCGAGAGUGAAAUUCGAUCCCAGAUCCUCGGCGUGAUAGUCACGUGCUUUAACCAUCACACCAGAUCCGCUCCACAUACAUACCUGAGGGUAAUAACGGGCCUAAUGACCGGUCACUGCCCCAGUAGGUACCAUCUACACAAGAUUGGAAAAAUCCAAUCAUCUGAGUGUCGUUUUUGCCAUCUUGAAAACGAAACCGCUGAACAUUUACUCUGCAGCUGUGGAGAGCUAUCCAAUCAAAGAUUGUUAAUAUUUGAAAAAGAGUUAUUAGAGCCCUUGGAAGUUUGGCAAAGUGAUCCUAACAGGAUAAUAGACUUUAUAAAACGAGUUGUGCCUAGUUGGGAGCCAGUAUUAUAUCAACCAAUGUCCAUCACAGCUCAAUUGUGACAGGAUAAUCGAUUAGCACCAAAUUAAAUAUGGGUCAUACCACAAUAUUCCUAAAUAAUGGACGCAGUGGUUAAAAAGCUCUAAAGAUGAGGAAGAAAGAACGGAAAACCGUAGAGAAAUUUCUGAAAGAAUCUCCGAAUCUUUGUGAAGAAAAUCUCUUGGAAUUGCAUGUUUUUAAGAAACUUAUGGAGGAAUUUCUGGAAAACCCCCUGGAGAAGUUCCUAGAAGAAUUUAUUGAGAAUUUUCUGUGAAAUCCCAAAGGAUAUUUUCUGAAAAAAAAUAUGACAAUUUUUGAUAUUAGAGGAAUUCCUUCCGAAAUGUUUGAAGUUAAACAUGAAAUAAUACAAGUGUGUACUUACGUAAUCCUUAAAUCAAUUUCCUAUAGAAUCCCUUGAAAAAUCCCAGAAGAAAUUUCGGAAGAAACCUGUGGGCCAGUUUCAAGAUUAAUCUUUAGAGACGUUUUUUGGGAAACUUUAGAAGAAGUGCCAAAAAACAAUCCUAUAGGAAUGCCUGAAAGGAUAUUUAGAAGAAUCCUUGGAGGAAUUUUCAAAGACACCCAUAGACUGGGAUACAUUUCGAAGGGAUACUACGAGGAAUCUUCAGAAGAAUUCUUGCAAAAAUCAUUUGAAAUCAUUUUUCUGUAAACAUUCCAAUAAGAGUUCUCGGGCGGUGUCCCUGAAGGUAAUCCUAGGGAAUUUUCUAGAAAUUUCAAGAAGAAUUCUUGAAAAACUCGUAAAGGGAAUUCCAGUAAGAAUGUCCUUUCCGCGAUCAAUACAAAUUUCGUGAAUGCACGGAAGGAGAACCCGGAAUACUUCUUCAUCAGGCGCAAUAGCGAAUUUCAUUUCCCCAUACUGAAAAAUUAAAGUUUCAAUAUAAAACUUCAAGUCGGUUGCGGACUAUCUUAUCGAUUUUUUAGACUUUUUUUAUUUUGCAGGGCUUUAUUUGGGUCCAUUUGCAACCAUUUGUGACUAUUCGGAAUUGUGUAUUCGAAAUUUUGCCAAAAUCGACACGGCCUAGUGUACCAGUAUAUGGGGCGCUGAAAUUUGGAAACCUUGGAUAACCAGCAGGGAUGCCAUAUAUACAGAUUUUUCCUUAUUAUAAAGACUUUUGGGUUUUCAUACAGAUUUCGUUUUAUAUGAAAUACAGAUUCCACAGCAAAACCCUUUGAUUGCUUCAAAAAUAUUUCCAUGCAUAAUGGUUUGCAAUAUUGGCCAUUAAAGCCCAAAACCGCAUAUUUUACACUAUAAAUUAAGGUACAGCUCAAAAUUGUGACGUGAAGGAAGUCUGAGCCCGGAUACGGAUUCAGCGGCCCAAAAUCUGUCAGAGACCAAGUCAGAGACACAUAAGCUUGCUCUUGAGACAAAACAAACUGUUGCGCUGUGUUUUUGAGUUAGAGGGGCCAUUUUAUUUUUGUAUGGGAUACAUAUAUUUCUCGCAAAUUUUGUAUGGGAUACAGAUUUUUUAAAUGAGUGAUACAGAUUUUUCAUCUGGCAUCUUUGGAACUAGCUCUUAUUUCACCAUGACAGCAUUGUAUAUGGUUUGAUUAUAUACACCGUGUCCAAUAAGUUCUCAUACAAAAUCAAAGUCAAUUCAUUUCACACCUGUAAUCAGGAUCCUCAAGGUAAACACAUUUAUUGAAAGGCUAACUAACAUACAUCUAAUACAGCAUAUGUUUCGGAACCAACUGUCCUUUAUCCUUCUCUGCUGAUUGCUUAUGUGUCGUAAGUCCACUUCAGCUGGCACGCACGUCAUUUCAUUGGUAUUUCGUCGUACUUUAACGAGUAAUGGUUUUAAGUUGAAACAAAUUCGGUUUCUGUCCUCCCCAUUGCUAGUAGCAACUAUGACCAGAGCAUGAGCAUGAGCAUGAGCAUAGAUGACCGUACUAUUCGUAGUUGCUACUCCGUGCUUGACCAGAACAAUCGAAGUUGCACAAGGAAUCAACAGACGGAGCUUGGGAGUAGCUUACCGUCCUCAAUGUGCAUCUUCGAGAAUUCCAAACUUUAUUAGGUCAAUAACGGCGCCGGCCACGUCCUUACGGUCAUCGAGGAAGGAAAGGAAUGUUAUUAUGACGUGCGUUGCUUACUAAAGACCGAGAUCGCCUCUGCGUCUCCACGUCUGUCAUGGAAAGGACUUUUUGUUAGUGGGGAGGGGAAAGGGCGCAUGAUAUGAGUUCACUUUGGUAAGUGGAGUGAUUCAUGCAACCCUAUUAAUAUCAAACCACUUAUUUUCAUUUGGACUAAAACAAAACACAUGCCGACAUCGAAGAUGACGAACCAUUCAGAUAGUUUUCGAAGUGCGAAAAUUAACGAAAGAGAAAAUAAAGUGAUUUGAACCAACGUGGCUUUGGAACUUGGGCCGACACUUGACGUGACGAACAUUUCAAUGUCUGUUGACUAAAAUCGCAAAAAAUGUUGUUUGUUGCAUUUAUCGUAUCAUAAAUCGCCCCGUACGAAGAUGAGCAGUCAAAUAGACGACGACGACGACCGAAUGAAAACGCGACCUGUACACUUUGCCUCCAAAAACUCACUAAAUCGCCCCGUACGAAGAUGAGCAGUCAAAUAGACGACGACGACGACCGGAUGAAAACGCGGCCUGUACACUUUGCCUCCAAAAACUCACUCUCGCAAAAAUCUAGCAAAGCGAGCGCGCGAAACUUUACUGCUGCCGAACUACCGCACACUUCUGACUGCUUGGCGUCCCGUCGUCGGAGCCCCACAGAGGGAAGAGGAAAAAAAAUCGCAAAAAUCUAGCAAAGCGAGCGCGCGAAACUUUGCUGCUGCCGAACUACCGCACACUCCAUUGCUAGUAGCAACUAUGACCAGAAGAGAAAAAAAAUAAGAGAACCUGUAUUGGUAAAAUACGAAGCCGUUUUAUUUUGUACAAAAUAAAACAUAAAUUUAAAAAAAAAAAAACGUCCAUUUACCCGUUUCAAUGAGAUUUGUUGUGUUAAACAAGCAUGGGUGCAUCUUAUCUGGUUGAUUCACACCAUUCUCACUUGUAAAACAUGCUUGUAUUCCUAUUGUGGUAAAUUUUGUCCAAAAUUGGCGUUUUAUGAUGUUUAUCUUUGAUAUAACGGUUAUCUGCAUGAAAAUCAGUCCAAGUUGAGUUUACUUCCAAAUUUCUUACCAUAUCACCACUAAAACUGUAUUAUUUUAGCCUUAGUAUAUCCAUUUGGUACAUAACUUGGGAUACAAACUCAAAAUUUAUCCUUAUGGACUCUAUUUCACUACCGUAGAAUGAAAAACUUUUCGGAUAUUUUUCUUGCGUGCCGGAGAAAACGCACUUCAGAAAACGGAAGUGUACUGUUAGGCUUAUAAAAACAAAUAGAAAAUAAAGUUAUUCUGAAUCGUAUGCUUUAUUUAAUCAGUAUUAUGUGGCCUUUCAAUACACGCAUUUACUUUGAAAAUAUGAAUCAUACAUGUUAAAUAAAAUAAUAUUUUCGGAAUUUGUAUUUUGUAUGAGAACUUAUUGGACACGGUGUAAUAAGGUGAUGUUCCACAAGUAGAUUUUAUACAAUAUGUUCAGAACAUUUACCAUUUAUAUCAAUUGAACCAAUAUCUCGUUUCGAUCUUCAUAUCAA